Molecule: ribosomal RNA, 253 nt
Filed under: uncultured bacterium
Lineage: Bacteria
Description: partial 16S ribosomal RNA
Rfam family: Bacterial small subunit ribosomal RNA
Source: RNAcentral
UACAGAGGGGGCAAGCGUUGUUCGGAAUUACUGGGCGUAAAGGGCGCGUAGGCGGCCUGCUAAGUCGAACGUGAAAUCCCUGGGCUCAACCCAGGAACUGCGUCCGAUACUGGUUGGCUUGAGUUCGGGAGAGGGAAGCGGAAUUCCGGGUGUAGCGGUGAAAUGCGUAGAUAUCCGGAGGAACACCGGUGGCGAAGGCGGCUUCCUGGACCAACACUGACGCUGAGGCGCGAAAGCUAGGGGAGCAAACGGG